AUAUGGUCAAGCGAAAAGAGGUCUAUGGCGGAUGCCUAAGGGCUUCGGAAGGCGAAGAAGGCGUGAUAAGCUGCGAAAAGCCGCGGGGAGAAGCACAUAUUCAAUGAUCCGCGGAUAGCCAGAUAGGGUAACCCGACAACUUAAAAGGUUGUCACUGCGACGUCUGAAUAAAAUAGGGGUGGCGAGACCGGAGUGAAGUGAACCAUCUAAGUAACCCGAGGAAAAGAAAACAAAAGAGAUUCCGUAAGUAGCGGCGAGCGAAAGCGGAGGAGCCCAAACCACGCAAGUGGGGUUGAAGGGCCGCAUGGGGAUGACCCGAAAAGUUAGGAGAAAACAUACUUAUAGCAGAAAGGUUUUGGAAAAGCCUGUCAAAAGAGCGUGAAAGCCGCGUAAGCAAAAUAUGAUAUAAACUUUUUGAUGCGGUACAGUACAGCCUUGGGAGCUUUGAAGACCCUGUCGGAAUCCGGGUCGACCACACGAUCAAGGCUAAAUGCUAAUCAGCUACCGAUAGCGAAAAGUACCGUGAGGAAAGGCGAAAAAAAACCCCGGUAAGGGGUGAAAUAGAACCUGAAACCAUGAAAGACUAAUAGAGAUGUCCGCAGCCGAAAAACAGCGGUAGUGGCGUGUCUUUUUGUAAGAAUAAACCUGCGAGUUACGGUAUGCAGCGAGGUUAAGAAUGUGGUAGUUCCGGAGCCGGAGCGAAAGCGAGUCUGAAAAGGGCGAAGUUGCGUAAUCGUGAAAGACCCAGAAGCCAAGGUGAUCUAGUUAUGGGCAGGUUGAAGCAAAGGGUAAAACCUUGUGGAGGACGAACAGCCCAAUCUGUUAAAAGGUAGUGACCUGUGACUAGGAGUGAAGGCUAAACAAACCUGGAAAUAGCUGGCUCUCCCAGAAAUGCCUUUAGGGACAGCCUCAGCACAAAACUGUCGGAGGUAAAGCACUGGAUGGACUAGGGGUGUCAAAACCACCACCGAAACCAAUCAAACUCUCUGAAUACCGACAGUCAUCGUAUGGGAGUGAGACUGUGUGCUCAGGUUCAUAGUCGAAGGAAGCAGCCCAGACCGGCGACUAAGGUGCAAAAUCAUCUGAGUGUGAAAUGAAGUGCGGAUGAAAUACAGCCAGGAGGACUAGCUUAGAAGCAGCCAUUCCUUAAAAGAGUGCGUAACAGCUCACUGGUCGAGCACCUGUGCGCAGACAAUGUAACGGGAGCUAAGCAUGAUACCGAAGUCACGGACUCAUAACGAAAGUUAUGAUUGGGAAGAACAUUGCGUAACCUGAGAAGGCAAACCUGUGAGGGAUGCUGGAGGAGAUGGAAGAGAAUGCAGGUAUAAGUAACGAAAAGACGGGUGAGAUCCCCGUCCGCCGAAAAGCCCCUAAGGUUUCCUGGGUGAGAAACGAAAUGCAGGGUAAAGUCGGCCCCUAAGGCAAGGACGAAGUCAGUAGUCGAUGGGAAGUGGUUUAUAAUCAGCCUUUAAGUAUUGAAGGUAUGACGCAUGAGGUGAAAGAGAAAUCCACGGCCGGAGAGAUGGUAGUUCAGUCAAAGCGGUAAGUUAGUGAAGAGUGGGUUAAAAGACACUCUGAGAUGAGCCGUGACAGCGAGCGGAGAGAAAGUCGAAGUGAAGCGGACGUAAUCAAAGUGCCUGGAAAUAGUGUCUAAGUUAGGCUUAAGACCGUACCAGAGCAGAAACUUUAGGUAAGGUAGGGAUGAAAUCUAAGGCGCACGAGCGACCGCAAAGCGUUAAGGAACUCCGGCAAAAUGCGCGCAUGGCUUCGGAAGAAGUGCAUUUGCACUUUAAUCAAGAUUGUGAGGCGACACAAAGCAGGCCCGAGCGACUGUUUGUCAAAAAGCACAGAAGCGCAUCUGGAACCAGCAAUGGGACGUAUAGGUGGUGACACCUGCCCGGUACUGGAAGGUUAAGAGGCGGUUAUCCGUAAGGAGAAGCGUCAAGGCCCCAGCAAACGGCGGCCAUCUAACUAUAACGGUCCUAAAGGUAGCGGAAAUUCGCGUCGGUGGUUCGACCCGCACGAAUGGUGUAACGAUUGCAGGGCGCUGUCUCAACGCGAGACUAAAGUGAGAAUUAUAUUCCGGUAAAGAAGCCGGAUACCCGUAACCUAGACGGAAAGGCCCGUAGAACCUUCACGUAGCUUACUAUUGGGAUUCUAUUCAUCAUGUGUAGAAUAGUUGGGGAGGCAGUGAUGCGUGGCCGUUAGGUUGCGAAGAAACCGAAAAAGUGAAAUACCAACCUUGAUGAAUGAAUUACAACCUGUGCCGUGAAGCCGUUGCGAGAAGAGAGGACAAUGUGGCGACGGUUUUUGACUGGGGCAGUCGCCUCUAAAGAAGUAACGGAGGUGCGCGAAGAUCUCCUCGCGGGUGGUUAAAGAAAUCAUCAUUGCGAGUGUAAAGCAAAGGCACAAGGAGGCUUGCGAGAAAGACAUUUCGAGCAGGUACAGUAGGUCUUAAUGAUCUGGUGGUUCGGCGUGUGGAAGGGCCAUCACUUAACGGAUAAUACUCCGGGGAUAACAGGCUGAUUUUCCCAAGGUUCCACAUCGACGAGGAAGUUUGGCACCUCGAUGUCCGGCUCAUCGCAUCCUGGGGCUGGAGCAGGUCAAGGGUUUGGCUGUUCGCCAAUUAAAGCGGUACGUGAGCUGGGUUCAGAACGUCGCGAGACGCAGUUCGGUCCCCUAUCUGUUACGGGCGAUGGAUGUUUGAGAGGAGCUGCUUUUAGUACAGGAAGGGCCCAGAAGUGGACGAACACCUCUGGUUUACCAGUUAUCCUGCAAGGGUAAGUGCUGGGUAUCUAAGUUCGGAAGGGAUAACCGCUGAAAGCAUCUAAGCGGGAAGCCCACCCCAAGAUAAGACAUCCCUGAGGGUUUAACCCUCCUAAAGACUCCGGAGACACUAUCCGGUUGAUAGGCUGCAGGUGUAAGCGUCGUGAGGCGUUCAGCCAAGCAGUACUAAUAAGUCGUGAGGCUUGACCAUAU
This 2979-nucleotide ribosomal RNA is filed under the name Treponema parvum. Its description in RNAcentral is "23S ribosomal RNA". It matches the Rfam family "Bacterial large subunit ribosomal RNA". The record is from RNAcentral. Lineage: Bacteria; Pseudomonadati; Spirochaetota; Spirochaetia; Treponematales; Treponemataceae.